Long non-coding RNA from Bubalus bubalis (water buffalo), 621 nucleotides. RefSeq lists it as uncharacterized. The transcript has 2 exons. The record is from RefSeq and is a predicted model, not a curated record. NCBI's taxonomy places the organism in Eukaryota, Metazoa, Chordata, Mammalia, Artiodactyla, Bovidae.
CAUUAUAGAAACCUUAGCAUGUGAGUCAGGAUCAGAGAGAAAAGCGUGAGCCUGGCCGAGGGUGGGGGCGGGGAGGGCGUAAAGGCUGCGUGGGGGGCAAGGAACCGAGACAGAAGCCCCCUGCCAGUGAAUCCCCGCUUUGCCCCGAGGGUUUCUCUCGCCGGGACCGCGGAGCCCCUUGCCCUCUCUUUAGCUGCAGGGGACGGUGGGGGGUGGGGUGGGGGGCAGCUCAUCCGAAGGGGGAAGCCGCACCCACACCCGCGGGUUUCUCCGCCGUGUCCUUGCCAGGCUGGUCCCUCUGAACCAGGAGUCCCCGACUCCCGAGUCAGGACCUGGAGCUGUCCCUUUGCAAAGUCAGAGGAGAUAAGGCCUUGGCUCCCAGUGCCCGGGGAGAAGAUGGACCCGAACUGUCAUCUGACUCCUCGUUGUGAAACCUGCAGAUGUAAUCCAUGUACCCACUGAGCUGCCUAAGAACGAGGCUACUUCCUGUCUGCAUCCCUUCAGCAGACUGCCUGCCAUACCCAUCACUUUCUGGUUUAACGCUUGCUCAAUAGUCAAACCGUUUUCUUUCUCUUCUACCAUCAUGGAGGAGAGGUUUUCGGCCUUAGGAGCAGAUUUUGU